AUUGAACGCUGGCGGCAGGCCUAACACAUGCAAGUCGAGCGGAUGAAGGGAGCUUGCUCCUGGAUUCAGCGGCGGACGGGUGAGUAAUGCCUAGGAAUCUGCCUGGUAGUGGGGGAUAACGUCCGGAAACGGGCGCUAAUACCGCAUACGUCCUGAGGGAGAAAGUGGGGGAUCUUCGGACCUCACGCUAUCAGAUGAGCCUAGGUCGGAUUAGCUAGUUGGUGGGGUAAAGGCCUACCAAGGCGACGAUCCGUAACUGGUCUGAGAGGAUGAUCAGUCACACUGGAACUGAGACACGGUCCAGACUCCUACGGGAGGCAGCAGUGGGGAAUAUUAGACAAUGGGCGAAAGCCUGACCCAGCCAUGCCGCGUGUGUGAAGAAGGUCUUCGGAUUGUAAAGCACUUUAAGUUGGGAGGAAGGGCAGUAAGUUAAUACCUUGCUGUUUUGACGUUACCAACAGAAUAAGCACCGGCUAACUUCGUG
This 484-nucleotide ribosomal RNA is filed under the name uncultured bacterium. RNAcentral describes it as "partial 16S ribosomal RNA". It matches the Rfam family "Bacterial small subunit ribosomal RNA", at positions 30 to 507 of the family's 1533-position model. The record is from RNAcentral.